Molecule: long non-coding RNA, 608 nt
Organism: Mesocricetus auratus (golden hamster)
Lineage: Eukaryota; Metazoa; Chordata; Mammalia; Rodentia; Cricetidae
Exons: 2
Source: RefSeq, a predicted model, not a curated record
GUUUCUCUUUCAGCCUGCUCUCUGUGGAUCAGGAUGUAAAUCUCUCAGGUACAUGCCUAUCUGCUUCCUACCAUGCUGACAACGGACUAACCCUCUAAAACUGAUACCCAGGUUCCAGCCCCAACAUGCAACAGAACCUAGCAGCUUCUGCCACACGGUUCUGGAUUUAGAGUCAAGAAGGAUAUAGGAACUGGCCUGUGAAAUCUUCCUCCAAUGUUAAGAAAAGUCAUUGGAGCCAGGCAUAUGGUAGGGCAGUCCCUGCCUGGAGGCCCAGAGAAGAGACUGCAUGAAGCAGCAAAAGUAAAGCCUGGAUUACCUUGGAGACCCCAAGAUGUUGAAGAUGCCAAAGCCAUGAGAUACUGCCAAGAACAACUGCUCAGAGAAGGUGGAACCAGCCCAAGAGAGAUUUGUGUGUUGCAGUCAUCAAAGCUGGAAGGGAAGAGCCAUCUAAUAAAUCCUUUAAUAUUAGACAUGGAGUUGCAGAAUUUGGAAUUUUCCCUGCUGAUUUUCAGUCUUGCUUGGUCCAAUAUUUCCUCAUUAUGCUCCUUUUCCUCCCUUGUUUGAUUAUGAAUAUCCUAUUAAAAGUAAAAUUUGUCAAGAAUUAACAA